GUUGCACCAGUCGAGAAACCUCCGCAAUACACGAAAGUGUGACGGGGCCAUCCCGAGUGCCGUCCGCUGAGGACGGCUUUUUCCCCAGUGUACACAGCUGGGGGAAUAAGGAGAGGGCAAGCCUGGUGUCAGCCGCCGCGGUAAUACCAGCUCUCCGAGUGGCGGGGACGCUUAUUGGGCCUAAAGCAUCCGUAGCCGGCUGGGCAAGUCCUCCGUUAAAUCCAACGAUUCAAUCGUUGGGCUGCGGGGGAUACUGUCCAGCCUUGGGGCGGGAGAGGCCGACGGUA
RNAcentral lists this ribosomal RNA (287 nucleotides) under uncultured microorganism. Its description in RNAcentral is "partial 16S ribosomal RNA". It matches the Rfam family "Archaeal small subunit ribosomal RNA", at positions 329 to 617 of the family's 1478-position model. The record is from RNAcentral.